Molecule: ribosomal RNA, 530 nt
Filed under: Cladosporium perangustum
Lineage: Eukaryota; Fungi; Ascomycota; Dothideomycetes; Cladosporiales; Cladosporiaceae
Description: partial 18S ribosomal RNA
Rfam family: 5.8S ribosomal RNA (bases 216-369)
Source: RNAcentral
AUUAGAGGAAGUAAAAGUCGUAACAAGGUCUCCGUAGGUGAACCUGCGGAGGGAUCAUUACAAGUGACCCCGGUUUACCACCGGGAUGUUCAUAACCCUUUGUUGUCCGACUCUGUUGCCUCCGGGGCGACCCUGCCUUCGGGCGGGGGCUCCGGGUGGACACUUCAAACUCUUGCGUAACUUUGCAGUCUGAGUAAACUUAAUUAAUAAAUUAAAACUUUUAACAACGGAUCUCUUGGUUCUGGCAUCGAUGAAGAACGCAGCGAAAUGCGAUAAGUAAUGUGAAUUGCAGAAUUCAGUGAAUCAUCGAAUCUUUGAACGCACAUUGCGCCCCCUGGUAUUCCGGGGGGCAUGCCUGUUCGAGCGUCAUUUCACCACUCAAGCCUCGCUUGGUAUUGGGCAACGCGGUCCGCCGCGUGCCUCAAAUCGACCGGCUGGGUCUUCUGUCCCCUAAGCGUUGUGGAAACUAUUCGCUAAAGGGUGCUCGGGAGGCUACGCCGUAAAACAACCCCAUUUCUAAGGUUGACCUC